RNAcentral lists this transfer RNA (73 nucleotides) under Spirochaetaceae bacterium. RNAcentral describes it as "tRNA-Met". It matches the Rfam family "tRNA". From Rfam's summary of the family: Transfer RNA (tRNA) molecules are approximately 80 nucleotides in length. Their secondary structure includes four short double-helical elements and three loops (D, anti-codon, and T loops). Further hydrogen bonds mediate the characteristic L-shaped molecular structure. tRNAs have two regions of fundamental functional importance: the anti-codon, which is responsible for specific mRNA codon recognition, and the 3' end, to which the tRNAs corresponding amino acid is attached (by aminoacyl-tRNA synthetases). tRNAs cope with the degeneracy of the genetic code in two manners: having more than one tRNA (with a specific anti-codon) for a particular amino acid; and 'wobble' base-pairing, i.e. permitting non-standard base-pairing at the 3rd anti-codon position. The record is from RNAcentral. Lineage: Bacteria; Pseudomonadati; Spirochaetota; Spirochaetia; Spirochaetales; Spirochaetaceae.
CGCGAGAUGGAGAAGUUGGAAUCUCGACGGGCUCAUAACCCGUAGGUCGCAGGUCCGAGUCCUGCUCUCGCUA